GAAAAACCAGCCAAGCUUGUGAGAUCCUGAAAGACACAGUCAACAGUGACCCGGCUGGCUGGAGACGGAGGUGGGCUCCGGGACCCUGGACUUCUCGCCUUGGCUCUCUGCCUUCUUUUAUAAAAGGAGGUCAUUUGAGUUCUACAGAUAUUCAUUGCGCUUCUAACACACCCCAGCGGAGGACGGACACACACGUCUCUGGGUCUGGCAUGGUCCAGUUUUGUUCACUGUUCAGUCUCUAAGUUGUGUCCGACUCUUUGCGACCCCAUGGACUGCAGCACGCCAGGCUUCCCUGUCCUUCACCAUCUCCCAGAGUUUGCUCAAAUUCAUGUCAAUUGAGUCAGAAAUGAUGGAUGAUGCUAACUCCCUGAAGACCCUGAGCACGGAGCCCCAGACCUCCUGGAGCCUAAGGAUGGCUGACCCUGUGACCCCUCCUGCCACCUCACCGUCAGUCCUGCGGAGAAUUGGGCGCCUGUUGACUCCCCUCCCUCACCUGGUUUUUAAAAGUGGUUUGCUCAAAACCCUUCGGGGAGUUCUGGCUUUUUAGGCGUGAACCACCCUUCUCUGCUCCAGACUCUGAUGGCUCAGUUUGUUUGGCCUCACUGUGCAUCGUCCACAUGAACUUGAGUUAACAUUUUUGAGUGCCUAGACUUAGCCAUACCUGAGGUUUUCCGGCCCCUGGACUUAAUGGUGAUGUCCCCCAACAGAUUC
This is a long non-coding RNA of Cervus elaphus (red deer), 711 nucleotides long. RefSeq lists it as uncharacterized. The transcript is spliced from 3 exons. The record is from RefSeq and is a predicted model, not a curated record. Lineage: Eukaryota; Metazoa; Chordata; Mammalia; Artiodactyla; Cervidae.